UAAGCAUAUCAAUAAGCGGAGGAAAAGAAACCAACAGGGAUUGCCUUAGUAACGGCGAGUGAAGCGGCAAAAGCUCAAAUUUGAAAUCUGGCACCUUCGGUGUCCGAGUUGUAAUUUGAAGAAGGUAACUUUGGAGUCAGCUCUUGUCUAUGUUCCUUGGAACAGGACGUCACAGAGGGUGAGAAUCCCGUGCGAUGAGAUGUCUGAUUCUAUGUAAAGUGCUUUCGAAGAGUCGAGUUGUUUGGGAAUGCAGCUCUAAGUGGGUGGUAAAUUCCAUCUAAAGCUAAAUAUUGGCGAGAGACCGAUAGCGAACAAGUACAGUGAUGGAAAGAUGAAAAGAACUUUGAAAAGAGAGUGAAAAAGUACGUGAAAUUGUUGAAAGGGAAGGGUUUGAGAUCAGACUUGGUAUUUUGUAUGUCUUGCUUUCGGGUGGGGCCUCUACAGUUUACUGGGCCAGCAUCGGUUUGGACGGUAGGAUAAUGACAUUGGAAUGUGGCACCACUUCGGUGGUGUGUUAUAGACU
Molecule: ribosomal RNA, 523 nt
Filed under: Scheffersomyces stipitis
Lineage: Eukaryota; Fungi; Ascomycota; Pichiomycetes; Serinales; Debaryomycetaceae
Description: eukaryotic LSU rRNA
Rfam family: Eukaryotic large subunit ribosomal RNA
Source: RNAcentral